ACCCGCUGAAUUUAAGCAUAUAAGUAGGUGGAGGAAAAGAAACCGAAUGGGAAUCUCUUAGUAAUGGCGAAUGAAGGAGAUGUGCUUAGUGUCAAAAUCAGAUUACUCUGACUUGUAGGCUGUAAGGGCUUCGCCAACUUGGGUGCAGGUGCAAGUCUCUUGGAAAGGAGCACCAGUGAGGGUCAAGGUCCCGUCUGGCAUCUGUCAUCCCUCGUAGACGGUCUGCCCAUUGAGAGUCGUGUUCUUCUGGAGUAGAGCGCCAAUUGGGUGGUACUCUUUGCCCAAGGAGGAUUACGUGCUUGAGACCAAUAGUGAACAAGUACCAUGAGGGAAGGAUGAAAAGGACUUUGGAAAGAGGGUUAAGAGGGCAUGAAGCUGCUGGAAGGGAAGUGGAUUGGACUUUUACAUCGCAGUAAGAUUGCAGUCUGUGAUCUCCACUUGUGGGGCAUUGCGUGCUGUGUUUCUUGCUGCUUGGUUGGGUUUUGCGUUGUGCCCAGAAUCUCAGUUUUGACUGGCAGAAGGAUUGCGAUCUGGACCAUGUCAUUGCCUACUUUGGCGCAGCAUCAACCUUGACCAAAGGUUCAAUUUACCCGUCUUG
This 598-nucleotide ribosomal RNA is filed under the name Amphidinium sp. FIU2. RNAcentral describes it as "eukaryotic LSU rRNA". It matches the Rfam family "Eukaryotic large subunit ribosomal RNA", at positions 23 to 656 of the family's 3401-position model. Lineage: Eukaryota; Dinophyceae; Amphidiniales; Amphidiniaceae. The record is from RNAcentral.